CCCUACGGGGUGCAGCUGGCGGUCAGAUGGGUGGCGAAUUCGGCGGAAACGCAGAAAGCAACUACUACAGUGGUUUCCAAUAUCAGCCUAAAUUUGCUCCAAUCAUUAUGAACGGAAUACUCUACUAUCAGGCGCAGCCCAACUACAACUCGCUAACCCAGGGCUUCGUAGCUAAAGACUUAAGAACAGGCGAGACGAUUUGGACAAAGAACUAUAACAAUUACUUUGCAAACGGCUCACAGGACGUACUACUAUGCGGGCAGAUCUAUGUCUAUAAGACCAUGAACACCUACGGUGGACAAACCUAUCUAUGGGCUACAAGAUCCAACGGGUCAAGCACUAACCUCGACUGCUUUGACGCUGCAACAGGCAACUUCCUUUUCACUGUCUGGGGCGGCGGGGGGGC
Molecule: ribosomal RNA, 406 nt
Filed under: uncultured prokaryote
Description: partial 16S ribosomal RNA
Source: RNAcentral